RNAcentral lists this ribosomal RNA (298 nucleotides) under Gymnodinium sp. Its description in RNAcentral is "partial small subunit ribosomal RNA". It matches the Rfam family "Eukaryotic small subunit ribosomal RNA", at positions 601 to 903 of the family's 1831-position model. Lineage: Eukaryota; Dinophyceae; Gymnodiniales; Gymnodiniaceae. The record is from RNAcentral.
AUAUUAAAGUUGUUGCGGUUAAAAAGCUCGUAGUUGGAUUUCUGCCAAGGACGAUCGGUCCGCCCUCUGGGUGAGCAUCUGGCUCGGCCUAGGCAUCAUCUUGGAGAGCGUCGCUGCACUUGAUUGUGUGGCACGGUAUCCAGGACAUUUACUUUGAGGAAAUUAGAGUGUUUCAAGCAAGCGCACGCCUUGAAUACAUUAGCAUGGAAUAAUAAUAUAGGACUUCAGUUCUAUUUUGUUGGUUUCUAGAGCUGAGGUAAUGAUUACUAGGGAUAGUUGGGGGCAUUCGUAUUUAACU